GACUGCCACAAGGUUGGUGCAAUGCUACCUGCUAUAAAACUGAUAAAUUGAGCAUUCCAAGCACAGUGAGAUCAAUAUUUAUCAAAGCUUUUUGUUAUUAUACCAAUCAUUUUUAAUUUAUAUGAGGUAUGGAGCAAAUCAGGCUGAAAACCAUGGCAGUGAUCCACUGGAAUAUAGUAGCAAAUAAUCUUGUAACUGAUAUAUCCUGGUCAGGAGAACAUUGGGUGCAAUGAGGGAAAAUUCAUCCCAGAUGGGAAACCAGUCCAUCAAAAGUCAUCACAACACAAUGUGGACAUGGAGCAGUCUGGACCCUCCCAGCCUGCAUCACAUUUACAGCUGCAGGUGCUGUGCUGGUAUACACCAUGGCCACUACAGCUUGUGUCCACAUCUAGUGCUUGUAAAAGUAAAUCUCCUGAAUCAGCAGAACAUUUGGCAAAAUGAAUACCUGAACAAGGGACCAUUUGAAACUAAUACCUGAACUUCCUCUGCAGCAGCCUUGAGCACACUGGGACUUCAGCAUGGCCUGACCCUCUGUUGCUUGGUCCUUUGAAGGCAAAACUGCCUGCAAGUCCUGCUUACAACCAGAGUCAAUUCUGUACACAUGGCUAAAUGUGACUGCUUUCUCAGACUCUUCUGCCUGUGUAGCAAGUGUGACCAAACCCAGCAUCCCAAAAAGGAGCAAAGAAAGCCAAUUUAGCCUGGGAAUCAUGGCCUGUGAAUAAAACACAUGAACAAUUUUCAAUGCACAUCCAUGUGGAAAUUCAGAGAUAGACCAUACAUUGAAUUACAUGCUCACCGAAAUACUACUGAUUUUUAUUCUCUCUUUCUAGCAGGGACCUUGGCUUUGUUAAAUGAACAAUAAAAUGUAAGCUUGAUCCAGA
Molecule: long non-coding RNA, 881 nt
Organism: Silurus meridionalis
Lineage: Eukaryota; Metazoa; Chordata; Actinopteri; Siluriformes; Siluridae
Exons: 5
Source: RefSeq, a predicted model, not a curated record